Molecule: non-coding RNA, 314 nt
Filed under: Brugia pahangi
Lineage: Eukaryota; Metazoa; Nematoda; Chromadorea; Rhabditida; Onchocercidae
Description: Eukaryotic small subunit ribosomal RNA
Rfam family: Eukaryotic small subunit ribosomal RNA
Source: Rfam by way of RNAcentral
AGGAAUUUAACAAAAUCACGCAGCAGUCUUUACCUAUUUCCUGAAGUUGUCUGACAGCUAUCCUUCUUCUCCGCCUAACAACAUAACAGUAGUUUUACUUCAACAGGCGUUUAUACAUCUGCUGAAGUAUGCAAGCUACUUGUUACGCUCUUAAUUGCCCGUAAACAGUAACCAUUACCGAAAGGUAUUGGUAACCCCUUGAAAAUCCUCCGUGAUCGGGAUCGGGAAUUGCAAUUAUUUCCCUUGAACGAGGAAUUCCUAGUAAGUGUGAGUCAUCAGCUCACGUUGAUUACGUCUAUAUUUUUCAAGGUAAA